This 466-nucleotide ribosomal RNA is filed under the name uncultured bacterium. RNAcentral's name for it is "partial 16S ribosomal RNA". It matches the Rfam family "Bacterial small subunit ribosomal RNA", at positions 28 to 507 of the family's 1533-position model. The record is from RNAcentral.
GAUGAACGCUGGCGGCGUGCUUAGCACAUGCAAGUCGAACGAUGAAGCCCAGCUUGCUGGGUGGAUUAGUGGCGAACGGGUGAGUAACACGUGAGUAACCUGUCCUUAACUCUGGGAUAAGCCUGGGAAACUGGGUCUAAUACCGGAUAGGAGCGCCUACCGCAUGGUGGGUGUUGGAAAGAUUUAUCGGUUUUGGAUGGACUCGCGGCCUAUCAGCUUGUUGGUGAGGUAAUGGCUCACCAAGGCGACGACGGGUAGCCGGCCUGAGAGGGUGACCGGCCACACUGGGACUGAGACACGGCCCAGACUCCUACGGGAGGCAGCAGUGGGGAAUAUUGCACAAUGGGCGAAAGCCUGAUGCAGCGACGCCGCGUGAGGGAUGACGGCCUUCGGGUUGUAAACCUCUUUCAGUAGGGAAGAAGCGAAAGUGACGGUACCUGCAGAAGAAGCACCGGCUAACUACGUG